Long non-coding RNA from Daucus carota subsp. sativus, 696 nucleotides. RefSeq lists it as uncharacterized. The transcript is spliced from 3 exons. Lineage: Eukaryota; Viridiplantae; Streptophyta; Magnoliopsida; Apiales; Apiaceae. The record is from RefSeq and is a predicted model, not a curated record.
AGAAGAAUGUGCAUGAGCACUAAAGCGUGCCUGUAAAUAGGUUAGCAUUGAAAUGAUUUGGCGAUUAAAUUUUAACAAUGGAGACCGAUGUAUGCAUAUGUGUUUCCCUUGAUAUAAGUUGGUGCCAUGGUAUUCGAGGUUGUUCUUGGUACAUUACUACAAGGCAAAUGAAGCCCCUUACCCCAGCAGGCCAACCUGGUACACUUGUGGGGAGUACUAGGCCCUGAAGGCAAAGGGGUAGCCUGUGGCUGAAGAAGAGCCAGGCAUUGAUGUGGACACAUCUCAAGGUGUCCUCAGACCUGGAGAGAGAGCCAUUCCAGACACACAACCUCGGCCAGGACAUCACCUCUCUGCUUAUGCUAGAGCAGGAAGGUGAUGUGAAGAUAUAUGGGUUCGUGGAAGAACCUUUGGAUGAUGAUAUAUAGGACGAGAGGAGGUGUCUGAUGCGGUGGUAGAGUAACAAACCAAAAAGGACAAUGCAAACGCAAAAAAUUUAUUACUUGUUCUAAAAUUAAAAACAAUUUAGUGACAUGUAAUUUUGUAUCCAUCAAAUAGAUGUUUUUAUUAUUAAAAUAGGUCUUAUCUAUGACUUUAUCUGUAAAUUGCAUCUAAUGAGUCUAUCAACGGUGAACAUGCAUCUCUAAUGAUGGAAUGAAUCGUCAAAACAUUACAAAUUUAAUAUCUAAACAUUUUAAA